Molecule: ribosomal RNA, 595 nt
Filed under: uncultured Bacteroidota bacterium
Lineage: Bacteria; Pseudomonadati; Bacteroidota
Description: bacterial SSU rRNA
Rfam family: Bacterial small subunit ribosomal RNA
Source: RNAcentral
CAACCUGCCCAUCACUUGGGGAUAACCUUGCGAAAGUAAGACUAAUACCCAAUGAUAUCUCUAGAAGACAUCUGAAGGAGAUUAAAGAUUUAUCGGUGAUGGAUGGGGAUGCGUCUGAUUAGCUUGUUGGCGGGGUAACGGCCCACCAAGGCAACGAUCAGUAGGGGUUCUGAGAGGAAGGUCCCCCACAUUGGAACUGAGACACGGUCCAAACUCCUACGGGAGGCAGCAGUGAGGAAUAUUGGUCAAUGGACGAGAGUCUGAACCAGCCAAGUAGCGUGCAGGAUGACGGCCCUAUGGGUUGUAAACUGCUUUUAUAAGGGAAUAAAGUGGGAGUCGUGACUCUUUUUGCAUGUACCUUAUGAAUAAGGACCGGCUAAUUCCGUGCCAGCAGCCGCGGUAAUACGGAAGGUCCGGGCGUUAUCCGGAUUUAUUGGGUUUAAAGGGAGCGUAGGCCGGAGAUUAAGCGUGUUGUGAAAUGUAGAUGCUCAACAUCUGCACUGCAGCGCGAACUGGUUUCCUUGAGUACGCACAAAGUGGGCGGAAUUCGUGGUGUAGCGGUGAAAUGCUUAGAUAUCACGAAGAACUCCGAUUG